UGGGGAAUUUUACACAAUGGGGGAAACCCUGAUGUAGCAACGCCGCGUGGAGGAUGACGGAUUUAGGUCUGUAAACUCCUUUUAUAAGGGAAGAAAUUUGACGGUACCUUAUGAAUAAGCACCGGCUAACUCCGUGCCAGCAGCCGCGGUAAUACGGGGGGUGCAAGCGUUACUCGGAAUCACUGGGCGUAAAGGGAGCGUAGGCGUUUUAUUAAGUCUUGAGUGAAAGCUCGCAGCUCAACUGCGGAACUGCUCAGGAAGCUGAUAGAAUUGAGUAUGGAAGAGGUAGGUGGAAUUUCCGGUGUAGGGGUAAAAUCCGUAGAUAUCGGAAGGAAUACCAGAAGCGAAGGCGACCUACUGGGACAUUACUGACGCUGAGGCUCGAAAGCGUGGGGAGCAAACA
Molecule: ribosomal RNA, 403 nt
Filed under: uncultured bacterium
Lineage: Bacteria
Description: bacterial SSU rRNA
Rfam family: Bacterial small subunit ribosomal RNA
Source: RNAcentral